CCUACGGGUGGCAGCAGUGGGGAAUAUUGGGCAAUGGGCGCAAGCCUGACCCAGCAACGCCGCGUGAAGGAAGAAGGCUUUCGGGUUGUAAACUUCUUUUCUCAGGGACGCAGAAAGUGACGGUACCUGCGGAAUAAGCCACGGCUAACUACGUGCCAGCAGCCGCGGGAAUACGUAGGUGGCAAGCGUUAUUCGGAUUUAAUGGGUGUAAAGGGCGUUUAGGCGGGAGCGCAAGUCAGAUGUGAAAACUCAGGGCUCAACCCUGAGCCUGCAGUUGAAACUGUGUUUCUUGAGUGCUGGAGAGGCAAGCGGAAUGCCGGGUGUAGCGGUGAAAUGCGUAGAUAUACGGAGGAACACCAGUGGCGAAGGCAGAUUGCUGGCCAGUAACUGACGCUGAGGCGCGAAAGCGUGGGGAGCAAACAGGAUUAGAUACCCCUGUAGUC
This 443-nucleotide ribosomal RNA is filed under the name uncultured bacterium. Its description in RNAcentral is "partial 16S ribosomal RNA". It matches the Rfam family "Bacterial small subunit ribosomal RNA", at positions 338 to 795 of the family's 1533-position model. The record is from RNAcentral.